UGAGGAAUAUUGGGCAAUGCCCGCAAAGGUGACCCAGCAACGCCGCGUGGAGGAUGAAUGUCGUAAGAUUGUAAACUCCUGUUAGAGGGGAAGAAUAGUACCGGUUGGACCGGUAUAUGACUGUACCCUCAGAGAAAGCCCCGGCUAACUACGUGCCAGCAGCCGCGGUAAUACGUAGGGGGCAAGCGUUGUCCGGAUUUACUGGGUGUAAAGGGCGCGCAGGCGGGAUAAAAAGUCAGUGGUGAAAUCCUACAGCUUAACUGUAGAAUUGGCUUUGAUACUUUUAUUCUUGAGGUCGGGAGAGAGGGACGGAAUUCCAGGUGUAGUGGUGAAAUACGUAGAUAUCAGGAGGAACACCUGCGGUGUAGACAGCUUUCUGGACCAAAACUGACGCUGGGGCACGAAAGCGUGGGUAGCAAACA
RNAcentral lists this ribosomal RNA (422 nucleotides) under uncultured bacterium. Its description in RNAcentral is "bacterial SSU rRNA". It matches the Rfam family "Bacterial small subunit ribosomal RNA", at positions 355 to 774 of the family's 1533-position model. The record is from RNAcentral.